GUCGCUGUGGCUGGCUUUUUGUGUGCAGCGGAAUGUCGCUAAUCUGCCCGCCAUCGACAUGCAAAUGAGCGGAGCGGCCCUGCGUCAGAGGAUUCAGAGCCUGGGAAAUGGCUCCACCAAUCCCUGCAUCAGCCUGGACACAAGCGCAAAACUUCAACAACUCAAAACCACCAAAACACACAUGCACAAAACUAGAUUUGUGCAUGUUCUGAAGACGUGUGUGAGUGGUGGCGUCAUGAUAGCAGGGUGAUGUCAUGGAGUUGUCCUGAGAGGUUUCUGAGGUGUUCUUUUUUUUUUUUUUCUGCAGGACAAAAAUUGUAUGUGUGAUCAUUUAGAAAAGUACUAGCACAUCUCUCCUCAAAAAGCUGCAUAAAUGGAUUUGGUGUGUAUUAUGCCCCAAAAUGUAAUACUUAGGAUUGGGGAUUUGUUUCAAGAAUUCACAGUGAAUUCAGGGAUUCAUUAUACACAACACACAAGUGCUUCCCAAAAGCCCCUCUGGUCAUCUCAUUGUAUCUCCUUUUAUGAGGAUUUUCAAGAUUUUUAUGCUGCAAAAGUCAAUUCAUCUUGUAAAACGUGAAUUUUCAGAAUGAUAAAACUUAAUUGCAACAGCAAAUCAGGCCUCGUAUGACAUUCCACGAGAGCUUGUUUCAUCUCACCAGGCUCAUUGCGGGCUUGUGUUUUGGUUCACAGAUCCAAAAGAUGUUUGCAUGAUUUAAGCACACGUGUCUGUGGGAUUGGACUGUUUCUACGCAGAGCUCAGGGCUGGGAAUGCCGGCACGACUCCCACCGGCAUCUGGCUGGGCAGCUGGCCCUCAAUCUACAUUUUCUCAUACACAGUUUCAUAUCUUUCUGUCGGGAUCCCUGUUUUGGGGGGGAUAAAAAAUACUUAUUAAAAUACUUAGCAGUCGUAAUCACUUUUAUGUAUCCAUGUACUGUAUACAAAUGAGUAUUUUUGUUACUGUUGGAAAUUAGUUUUUCUUCAACUCACAUCUGUGACUGCACAUUUCAUAUUAAACUGUUCAUAUACCACAUUGCCUGUCAACUGUAAACAGCCUACAGUUUAAACUAAUGAAAUUACUUUAUUAUUUUGUGCAUCUUGCUAUCAUUUUAUUUAAAAGAACAGUUUAGCCCAAAAUUCUGUCAUCAGUUACUCCAUCAAUCAACCCAUAAGACCCAUAAUGUUUAUUAAAUCACUUGAUUCAUAUUCAUUUCUUGGUCACACUUUAUUUUAAGAUCCAAUUCUCGCUAUAAGCAACUAGUUAAUAAUGAGAACUGAUCCCUAUACUUAAAGGUGCUGUAUGUAAGAUUUUGACUAUACUAAAGCAUAAAAAUACCACAAUUUGUUUGCAGUUA
This is a long non-coding RNA of Cyprinus carpio carpio, 1353 nucleotides long. Lineage: Eukaryota; Metazoa; Chordata; Actinopteri; Cypriniformes; Cyprinidae. The record is from Ensembl.